UACUCCUACGGGAGGCAGCAGGGGGGAAUAUUGCACAAUGGGGGAAACCCUGAUGCAGCGACGCCGCGUGAGCGAUGAAGGUCUUCGGAUCGUAAAGCUCUGUCCUAAGGGACGAUAAUGACGGUACCUUAGGAGGAAGCCCCGGCUAACUACGUGCCAGCAGCCGCGGUAAUA
Molecule: ribosomal RNA, 174 nt
Filed under: Clostridium sp.
Lineage: Bacteria; Bacillati; Bacillota; Clostridia; Eubacteriales; Clostridiaceae
Description: partial 16S ribosomal RNA
Rfam family: Bacterial small subunit ribosomal RNA
Source: RNAcentral